Molecule: long non-coding RNA, 849 nt
Filed under: Citrus maxima (pomelo)
Lineage: Eukaryota; Viridiplantae; Streptophyta; Magnoliopsida; Sapindales; Rutaceae
Description: long non-coding RNA (CMAX_LNC000671)
Source: RNAcentral
UCACAGGCCAUCAAUGGGUCAAGUAGUUCAAAUUCUUGAGGGAGUUUUGGACGUGACACUGCCUCCAAUUCCCAGAGCUCUCCAAGUAAUGGUCGAUGACCAUGAGCACGUAGUCUUCUUCACUGAAUCAUCCUCAUCUCAGAGUUCCCUGUCAAAGAGCAACAAUUCAACUGCUUCAGCUCAAGCAAAGAGCACCACAUUAUCAAGAAGUUCUUAAAUCGAUGUGAAGAAAAUAUUUUAACAUUUGUGUUUAAGAAUAUAUAUUUGGAUUAUUUCACUUGUAACAACCUGUAUGCAUAUUUGGAUAGAAGCCUUGCUUCGUAGUGUAUAAUAAUAAUGCCCCCUGCCAAAGCAAUUUUAAGAAUCACAAGCCUUGUGCCUCGCUGUUUUCUCUAAUGAACUCUGAUUGAUCUAUGCUCCUCUGCAUUGACUAUUGGCCUCACCUAAUCGCUUCAACUGGCAAAAUUAGGUAUUGAAAUGAAAGCGACUUGGAACAAAUAACAUAAACAAAUAACAUGGGUCAAACAGCAAAAACAAUCAAACAAACAAACAUAAACGUGACGUUGUAACAAAUAACAUGGGUCAAGAUAUAAAUCAACUGACCAACAUUGUUGAAUUGUCGAUAUUUUUAUUGACUUCAAUUGACUAACAACUUUCCUUCUUUUCUUGAAGGAUGGCUUUGGCGGCGUUUCUUGAAGGAUGGCUUGGACCUCUCGUUGAUUCGCGUCCUCGAUAUUGGUUCGUGGCUUUCGAUCUUCCUGAUCUCGCCGUCUUCCGAAGAGAAGACGUUUGUCGAAGUUAUCGCAAUCGACGCUCACCAUUGUCCUGGUAAGUCACGGUUAAGCUAAC